Molecule: ribosomal RNA, 434 nt
Rfam family: Bacterial small subunit ribosomal RNA
ACGGGAGGCAGCAGUGGGGAAUAUUGCACAAUGGGCGAAAGCCUGAUGCAGCGACGCCGCGUGAACGAAGAAGUAUUUCGGUAUGUAAAGUUCUAUCAGCAGGGAAGAUAAUGACGGUACCUGACUAAGAAGCACCGGCUAAAUACGUGCCAGCAGCCGCGGUAAUACGUAUGGUGCAAGCGUUAUCCGGAUUUACUGGGUGUAAAGGGCGUGUAGGCGGGACAGCAAGUCAGAUGUGAAAGCACGAGGCUCAACUUCGUGUCUGCAUUUGAAGCUGCUGUUCUUGAGUGCUGGAGAGGCUAACGGAACUCCUAGUGUAGCGGUGAAAUGCGUAGAUAUUAGGAAGAACACCAGAGGCGAAGGCGGUUAGCUGGACAGUAACUGACGCUGAGGCGCGAAAGCGUGGGUAGCAAACAGGAUUAGAUACCCUGGUA